GGGUCCGAGUUGUAAUUUGUAGAGGAUGCUUUUGGUGCGGUGCCUUCCGAGUUCCCUGGAACGGGACGCCUUAGAGGGUGAGAGCCCCGUACGGUUGGACGCCUAGCCUCUGUAAAGCUCCUUCGACGAGUCGAGUAGUUUGGGAAUGCUGCUCUAAAUGGGAGGUAUAUUUCUUCUAAAGCUAAAUACCGGCCAGAGACCGAUAGCGCACAAGUAGAGUGAUCGAAAGAUGAAAAGCACUUUGAAAAGAGGGUUAAAUAGCACGUGAAAUUGUUGAAAGGGAAGCGUUUAUCACCAGACUUUUUCUAGGGGGAUCAUCCGGGGUUCUCCCCGGUGCACUUCCCCUAGUUGAGGCCAGCAUCGGUUUUCGGAGGGGGAUAAAAGUUUCGGGAAUGUGACUCCCCCGGGAGUGUUAUAGCCCGUUACAUAAUACCCUUCUGGGGACCGAGGUUCGCGCAUCUGCAAGGAUGCUGGCAUAAUGGUGAUCAACGACCCGUCUUGAAACACGGACCAAGGAGUCGAACAUUUAUGCGAGUGUUUGGGUGUCAAACCCUCACGCGUAAUGAAAGUGAACGGAGGUGAGAGCCCUUACGGGUGCAUCAUCGACCGAUCCUGAUGUCUUCGGAUGGAUUUGAGUAAGAGCAUAACUGUUCGGACCCGAAAGAUGGUGAACUAUGCGUGGAUAGGGUGAAGCCAGGAGAAAUCCUGGUGGAGGCUCGCAGCGGUUCUGACGUGCAAAUCGAUCGUCAAAUCUGCGCAUGGGGGCGAAAGACUAAUCGAACCAUCUAGUAGCUGGUUACCGCCGAAGUUUCCCCUCAGGAA
RNAcentral lists this ribosomal RNA (822 nucleotides) under Nigrospora sp. RNAcentral describes it as "partial large subunit ribosomal RNA". It matches the Rfam family "Eukaryotic large subunit ribosomal RNA", at positions 134 to 979 of the family's 3401-position model. Lineage: Eukaryota; Fungi; Ascomycota; Sordariomycetes; Amphisphaeriales; Apiosporaceae. The record is from RNAcentral.